UUUGAGAGAAGGGAUGACACAGUAGGAUAAGCUAAGCACACUGUUGGUUAUGUGUGCCCAAGCAUUGAGGCAGUCAAAGUAGGCAAAUCCGCUUUGAUAAUGCUGGGAUGUGAUGGGGAGCGAAAUUUAGUAGCGAAGUAGCUGAUUUCACACUGUCAAGAAAAGUCUCUAUCGAGGUUAAAGGUACCCGUACCGCAAACCGACACAGGUG
RNAcentral lists this ribosomal RNA (211 nucleotides) under Clostridioides difficile. RNAcentral describes it as "partial 23S ribosomal RNA". It matches the Rfam family "Bacterial large subunit ribosomal RNA", at positions 1456 to 1665 of the family's 2925-position model. The record is from RNAcentral. Lineage: Bacteria; Bacillati; Bacillota; Clostridia; Peptostreptococcales; Peptostreptococcaceae.